RNAcentral lists this ribosomal RNA (307 nucleotides) under uncultured Gammaproteobacteria bacterium. Its description in RNAcentral is "bacterial SSU rRNA". It matches the Rfam family "Bacterial small subunit ribosomal RNA", at positions 158 to 469 of the family's 1533-position model. Lineage: Bacteria; Pseudomonadati; Pseudomonadota; Gammaproteobacteria. The record is from RNAcentral.
UCGGGCUAAUACCGCAUGUGUCCUACGGGAUAAAGCAGGGGAUCUUCGGACCUUGCGCUAAAUGAUGAGCUCGCGUGAGAUUAGCUUGUUGGUGAGGUAAAGGCUCACCAAGGCAACGAUCUCUAGCUGGUCUGAGAGGAUGAUCAGCCACACUGGGACUGAGACACGGCCCAGACUCCUACGGGAGGCAGCAGUGGGGAAUAUUGGACAAUGGGGGCAACCCUGAUCCAGCAAUUCUGCGUGUGUGAAGAAGGCCUGCGGGUUGUAAAGCACUUUCAGUAGCCAAGAUGGGAUUAAGUGUUAAUAC